UCACGAGCGCAGCUUUUCUGUUUCCCUUUGGCAAUCACCAUCUCGUCCAUUUUCUCUCUCAUGAGCACUCUUGCCGCUCCCGAGCGUCUUCAUGAGUCUGACACGAGUCUUGUCGUGAACACAAGCAGGUGGGGGGGAAGUCCACUCUCGGCCAGAAAAGUGGGCUGCCAUUUUAGCCUAGAGAAAGAGCAUCUGCGCAUUCACGGCAAAAGCCAGUCAUUAUGACGAUUGUAACAGACUUCCACAUGACACAGUCGGUCCGUAAGAGGAGGCCUCGUGGACUCUCCUCGCCCGAAGCAUCAUGCUACAUGUCAACACCCGCAAGAUCGUAAUCUCACUUCAAAAGCUUCUUUAAUACUCCCUUUGCGCUGACGCUCGCUGGACCUCCGCUUGCUCAAAGCGGGUGGUCUGGCUCCAUUCGUCUUUGUCAGGCAGCAUUAGUGCCAUGAGAGGCAAGUGUAUACACACACACACACACACACACACACACGUGCAUUUACACUACACGCCGGUGCCUCCCAUGGGGAGGGGGUGGGGAGGCCGUGACAGCAGGCCUUGCCAAAGCAGGCCAAUGAAUACAGAUCACCUUGCUCCUCCCAACCACGGAGAGCCAGAGAUCCUUCCGUGGCCCUGUGGGACGCCCAGCCGCUCACACCGGGUCGGGCUGGCUGCGUGUUGCCUGCGCGGGCUCCAUUUGGAUGUACAGUACACGCCUGCCUUGUGUAAACAUUGCGCUGUCAAUAGAUAGGGCAAGCUGUGCCAUACAUGGUGCACUGCAAUCAUGUUUUCUGCCUGUGAGCAUCUCACUGUCUGUCUGUCUAUCCUGCUAUCCAUGCAUCCAUCGCGUUGUACAACUCUAUACUGUAUAUACAGUACAGCUAUCUAUUUUUCCAGAAUGAUACCAUAACAAUAUUACUAUAACUUUCAUGAAAAUUAUUUUUUUAAAGAAAAAUAUCAAUCCAAAUGCAUGUGGAAAGUUCUUUUUUUAAAAUUAGAAUUCACUGACAGUCAUCACCAGGAAUAAAGUCAGCAA
Hippocampus comes (tiger tail seahorse) is the source of this 1033-nucleotide long non-coding RNA. RefSeq lists it as uncharacterized. NCBI's taxonomy places the organism in Eukaryota, Metazoa, Chordata, Actinopteri, Syngnathiformes, Syngnathidae. The record is from RefSeq and is a predicted model, not a curated record. The transcript is spliced from 2 exons.